RNAcentral lists this ribosomal RNA (468 nucleotides) under uncultured bacterium. RNAcentral's name for it is "partial 16S ribosomal RNA". It matches the Rfam family "Bacterial small subunit ribosomal RNA", at positions 28 to 507 of the family's 1533-position model. The record is from RNAcentral.
GACGAACGCUGGCGGCGUGCUUAACACAUGCAAGUCGAACGGAAAGGCCCUGCUUGUGUGGGGUUCUCGAGGGGCGAACGGGGGAGUAACACGUGAGUAACCUGCCCUAGACUUUGGGAGAACUUCAGGAAACUGGGGCUAAGACCGGAUAGGAGCCCCUGCUGCAUGGAGGGGGUUGGAAAGUUUCGGCGGUUGGGGAUGGACUCGCGGCUUAUCAGCUUGUUGGUGGGGUAGUGGCUUACCAAGGCUUUGACGGGUAGCCGGCCUGGGAGGGUGACCGGCCACAUUGGGACUGAGGUACGGCCCAGACUCCUACGGGGGGCAGCAGUGGGGAAUCUUGCCCAAUGGGCGGAAGCCUGAUGCAGCAACGCCGCGUGCGGGAUGACGGCCUUCGGGUUGUAAACCGCUUUCGCCUGUGACGAAGCGUGAGUGACGGUAAUGGGUAAAGAAGCACCGGCUAACUACGUG